CCUACGGGUGGCAGCAGUGGGGAAUAUUGGACAAUGGGCGAAAGCCUGAUCCAGCCAUGCCGCGUGUGUGAAGAAGGCCUUCGGGUUGUAAAGCACUUUCAGUGGGGAAGAAAGCCUUGGGGCUAAUACCCUCGAGGAAGGACAUCACCCACAGAAGAAGCACCGGCUAACUCCGUGCCAGCAGCCGCGGUAAUACGGAGGGUGCGAGCGUUAAUCGGAAUUACUGGGCGUAAAGCGCGCGUAGGCGGUCUGAUAAGCCGGUUGUGAAAGCCCCGGGCUCAACCUGGGAACGGCAUCCGGAACUGUCAGGCUAGAGCGCAGGAGAGGAAGGUAGAAUUCCCGGUGUAGCGGUGAAAUGCGUAGAGAUCGGGAGGAAUACCAGUGGCGAAGGCGGCCUUCUGGACUGACACUGACGCUGAGGUGCGAAAGCGUGGGUAGCAAACAGGAUUAGAUACCCUAGUAGUC
Molecule: ribosomal RNA, 465 nt
Filed under: Vreelandella stevensii
Lineage: Bacteria; Pseudomonadati; Pseudomonadota; Gammaproteobacteria; Oceanospirillales; Halomonadaceae
Description: partial 16S ribosomal RNA
Rfam family: Bacterial small subunit ribosomal RNA
Source: RNAcentral